UACGAAGGGUGCGAGCGUUGUUCGGAAUUAUUGGGCGUAAAGCGCACGUAGGCGGCCUUGUAAGUCUCACUGUGAAAGCCCGGGGCUCAACCCCGGGAGGCCAGGGGAUACUGCAAGGCUGGAGACAAGCAGAGGUUGGUAGAAUUCCGGGUGUAGCGGUGGAAUGCGUAGAGAUCCGGAGGAAUACCAGAGGCGAAGGCGGCCAACUGGGCUUGUUCUGACGCUGAGGUGCGAAAGCGUGGGGAGCGAACAGG
Molecule: ribosomal RNA, 254 nt
Filed under: uncultured bacterium
Lineage: Bacteria
Description: partial 16S ribosomal RNA
Rfam family: Bacterial small subunit ribosomal RNA
Source: RNAcentral